GAGUUUGAUCGUGGCUCAGAUUGAACGCUGGCGGCAGGCCUAACACAUGCAAGUCGAGCGGAUGAAGGGAGCUUGCUCCUGGAUUCAGCGGCGGACGGGUGAGUAAUGCCUAGGAAUCUGCCUGGUAGUGGGGGAUAACGUCCGGAAACGGGCGCUAAUACCGCAUACGUCCUGAGGGAGAAAGUGGGGGAUCUUCGGACCUCACGCUAUCAGAUGAGCCUAAGGUCGGAUUAGCUAGUUGGUGGGGUAAAGGCCUACCAAGGCGACGAUCCGUAACUGGUCUGAGAGGAUGAUCAGUCACACUGGAACUGAGACACGGUCCAGACUCCUACGGGAGGCAGCAGUGGGGAAGUAUUGGAC
This 360-nucleotide ribosomal RNA is filed under the name uncultured microorganism. RNAcentral's name for it is "bacterial SSU rRNA". It matches the Rfam family "Bacterial small subunit ribosomal RNA", at positions 9 to 369 of the family's 1533-position model. The record is from RNAcentral.